AUUUAAAUAGCUUAAUUAGAGCAUAAUAUUGAAGAUAUUAAGGUGAUUAAUAAAUCUUUAAAUA
Molecule: transfer RNA, 64 nt
Filed under: Precis milonia
Lineage: Eukaryota; Metazoa; Arthropoda; Insecta; Lepidoptera; Nymphalidae
Description: tRNA-Phe
Source: RNAcentral